UACGUAGGGAGCAAGCGUUAUCCGGAUUUACUGGGUGUAAAGGGCGCGUAGGCGGGAUGGCAAGUCAGAUGUGAAAUCCAGGGGCUCAACCCCUGAACUGCAUUUGAAACUGUCGUUCUUGAGUACUGGAGAGGAAAGUGGAAUUCCUAGUGUAGCGGUGAAAUGCGUAGAUAUUAGGAGGAACACCAGUGGCGAAGGCGACUUUCUGGACAGAAACUGACGUUGAGGCACGAAAGUGUGGGGAGCAAACAGG
This 253-nucleotide ribosomal RNA is filed under the name uncultured Oscillospiraceae bacterium. RNAcentral's name for it is "partial 16S ribosomal RNA". It matches the Rfam family "Bacterial small subunit ribosomal RNA", at positions 524 to 776 of the family's 1533-position model. Lineage: Bacteria; Bacillati; Bacillota; Clostridia; Eubacteriales; Oscillospiraceae. The record is from RNAcentral.